Molecule: transfer RNA, 76 nt
Filed under: Motiliproteus sp.
Lineage: Bacteria; Pseudomonadati; Pseudomonadota; Gammaproteobacteria; Oceanospirillales; Oceanospirillaceae
Also listed under: 8 other names
Description: tRNA-Thr
Rfam family: tRNA
About the family: Transfer RNA (tRNA) molecules are approximately 80 nucleotides in length. Their secondary structure includes four short double-helical elements and three loops (D, anti-codon, and T loops).
Source: RNAcentral
GCCGGCAUAGCUCAGCUGGUAGAGCAACUGAUUUGUAAUCAGUAGGUCCCGGGUUCGACUCCUGGUGCCGGCACCA